RNAcentral lists this transfer RNA (67 nucleotides) under Chorthippus parallelus parallelus. RNAcentral describes it as "tRNA-Pro". The record is from RNAcentral. Lineage: Eukaryota; Metazoa; Arthropoda; Insecta; Orthoptera; Acrididae. RNAcentral also lists the same sequence under 1 other name.
UCAGGGGUUAGUUUUAUAAAAAUAUCGGUUUUGGAGAUCGAGGAUAGAAAAAUUUUCUACCCCUGAA